CAGAACUAGUAAAGUCACUGAAUUCCCACUCUUUCUGACCAGAUCCACAACCUAGGAGGGAAGAAGAAAAAGAUCCAGGUGCAGAUUAGCUGAGCUUCUGGCACUGCUGGAAUAUAGAGUGUGGUUCAACCCCAGCCCAGAGGGUUCUUACAAGACUGGUCCUUUCUAGAGAGGAUAAGAACACAGGCCGCUAAGAAAGGUAUGUAAGCUCGGGAGGGAGGAAAGAAAGGGGAAGGGGGCUAGAGGAGAUUCGGACAUGAGAUGCAUUCACCCUAUGAGUUAAACCCCAGUCUCCAGCAUGGGAGUUGACAAUUCCAUUACUGAACCAUCAGUGUUCCAUGUAGUAUAACCUCUCAUGGGUUUAAAAAAAAAAAAAAAACUCUAGUGUUAUAAGCAGGCAUGAAGGGGCAGGGGGGAUGGGGGUGGGAAUGUUCUAUAAUAGGCUUACACAGAUGUCUUUGGAAAACAGAGCUAACAAAGCAACAGGCACUUAGAGAAAAGGCUUGUCCUAAACCUUCUGUUGUUUGCCAAGGGAAGAAAUCUUGGAGUGAAAUUUUCACUUUCUCUCUUGUGCAGAUCUCUGUAAGACACAAAAGUUUGGAAGACAGUCAUUUUGAUCCUUGACUUUUCUAGAGACUCAAAAGACGCAUCUGAGGAGAAAAGCUCUGGGUCCCUGGAAUGACCGUGCCACUCAACAUGCCUCCUGGAGUGGCCAAAGAGAGUGUAGUUAAGAAAAGAAAUAUUGGAGUGAACUUUCACUCACUCUCACCUUUGUAGGUUUCUCAAAAACAUAUGAAUUUAGAAGCAAGAUACUUGGCUUUUUCACAUGACUCAAAAGAGGUGUAGAGGAAGAGAAGCUCCAUCAUCCCACAGAUCUUCCAGGGUAACCUGGACACAUCCCUAAAUCUCCAGCUCCUGGGUCUUUGAAAGCCUGUUUAGGGAAAGAAUUUGUGAUUGUCUCAAGGUUGAGAGGAAAGAGUUUGGGAAACACCAAGGCAUGGGUUGGCAAAAAGAUUACAUCAUCAGUGAGGAAAUGAAAUUUCCAGAGGUUUUUGCCAGAUCUGGGACCAGAGACAAAGGCCUGGAUGAAUUUCCUGUGUAUUUCCAUAGAGGUCUGUUAUCUAGUUGUAUAGAGCCUGUUUCACAAUUAGGCUCUUUCAAAUCUGGUAUGUUGAUUUAAAUGCCAUUAUAAAUAACUUGAUAAUGUUGCCUGACAUACGUCUCCUAUGCAAGGCUUUGCUCUGGGUGUCCUUUCUGUUUGCUCGGUGUGUCUACUCAAGAGUCCUAUACAAAUCUAUUUUAGAAACACUGCUUCAAAGUCCUUCCAGAGACUCUUCAAAAUUAGAUCUAGUGAAACCGCACUCAGUGGAGCAUUGGUAGUUCAGCGGUGGCAUUCUCCCCACCUACGCGGGAGACCUGGGUUCAACUCCCGGCCAAAGCAGGCCUUCUUACCCUUCAUGCUCCAAGUUCAUGCUUGAAGGGCUAUUACAUUUCUAGCCAACAAAGUUAUUGUACUACACAGGCUGUACAGCAUUUAGGGGCCUUGAGUCGUGGUGGCUGGAAGCUAAACCUGCCACCUCUGGAAUAUUCUCUGUGCUGGAUCUAAUCUUGAAAUUACAUUUCCUCUGCUCAAAGCCUGUCUUUGAAAGUGGGGGUGUUUCCGGUGGUUUGCUGCAGUUUGGAGUACUGGGAACUAAAUAAAGCCUUUGCUACUUUCAUCUAGUCUCCGGGCACACCCCUGAGUAAUCCAAAGGCCAUCAGACGGAUUCUCGUGCUGGACUUUCCCCUACCUUAGGCCACAUCUCACUAUGGAGUGAGGAUCAAGAAGUAAAGGUCUGGGAAGGAGAGAGCUGCAGGGGCCAGGGAGACUCUUCGUGAGUCGGAGAGCCAUCAGCGGCCCAAGGAAAAGGGAGGAUCGUGGGGAGACGAGGGGAGCAGUGGAGAUGAGGGGAGCAGCGGAGACAGAGUCUCACGCACAGAUCUGGAUUUUCAUCUGGUAUUGGAUUCCUUCUGCCCGGAAGACUCCUUUGACGUUUCUGUAGUGUGGGUCAGCUGGUAGUGAAUUCGGUCAGCUUAUGAACUCAAAAGAGGUGUAGGAGGAGAGAAGCUCAAUUAUCACCCUGGUCUCCUGGAGUAUCCCAGGCACAGUCCCAAGAGUUCAGCUUUUCAUACUCGAGUUCCUGGGUCCUGAAGGCCUUUUUGGGGAAAGUACUGAUGUUCGUGUCAAGGUUGGGAAGAAAGGGUUUGGGAGGAACCAAGCAACAGGGAGGCAAAGAGAAGACAUCAACAAGCGAGGCAAGAACUUUCCACAGGCUCACACUGGAUACAGGACCAGAGACAAGAAGCUGGCAGUGUGGUGGGGAGGCCAUGGCAAUCAUUAGCUCUGGAGGCCUGAGGAGGACACUCUGAAGAGGAAAGCCCCGCGAUCAUCCGGUUUCACCCCUGUUUUCAUCUACUCUUUUCCUCAGCGAAGCCUAUAUGGGUUCCCGAUGUCACAUCGCAGCUACCGCAUUGGAGGGUUAAGAGCCGCUGACAAAUCUCUUUCGGGAAGGGAAGAAGAGUUCCAAACAAAAGAUCUACUACCCUGAGAAGCGGUGAAGUGCUCCUGGGGCCCACCAAGGCCACACAAGUCAAGGAGUGGAUGGCCUUGCCCCAGCUAUGGCUCAGAUCACCUUUGCAGGAUGACAUCUUGUUGGGAGAUGGUCAUCAGAGACAGGGCCAUGGAAGACGCUGUCAGGAGGAGGCACAGAGGAAAGGCUAUGGGAGCACAAAGCAAGAAAGUGGCCUUCUGCAAGCCAGGAAGAGAGGCCUCCCCAGAAACCAACUCUACCAGCACAUUGAUCUUGGACUUUUGGCCUCUAGAACAUUGAGAAAAUAAAAGUCUGCUGUUAAACCACCCAACCUUUGGUAUCUUUCUAUGGCAGCCUGAGCUGACUAACACCCUUGGUAGGUGGGCAGCAUUCACCUUAUUGGGCUACAUGAUGAGAAGUUAAAGUAACUUUAGCAAUAGGCACCAUUUGAUUUCAUUGUAUAGAUAUUGUGUCUUUUGCACUGAUUUUGCCUUUUUUAGUUGUGUGUAUAUUGAUGCCUGGGCCUAGCAUUACAAGACUAGUCGAAAUGGGAAGAAAGAAAAGAAAGUGGGAAAGAUACCAAGUUCCAUAAUUGCAUCCUCUACCCACAUCCAGUUCUUAGAAUCUUUUCCAAUGGAGACUGCACCUUGUGUACACUCAAAUUCAAUCUGAGCGCACAAUCAUUUAGACAACCAAGGCAACUUUUCCAAUUUUCAGCAUCACACGCUUGGGAAAACAAGUAUUUCAAUCACUAAUUUAAAUAUUCAUUGAGGUAAUUAUUCUGAGGUUGAUGAAAAAUAUGGUGUAUCCAUGUACUGUUGCCUUCUCCUGGGUCAAGAAUGUUGUCUUUACUCUGCUGGCUCACAUUUGACCAGAAAUUGGAGUCCCAGCAAAUCUUACUAGCCACUCAGGAAGCCUAUUUUAAGAUAGUCCCAAUCUCAAACUUGUUCUAAGACUUGUAUGCUGACUGAGGAGAAAGAGCCUCAUGACAAAAAUUCAACUAGAGCUGUGGGUGACAGUUGUGUGUCUCACUACUGGUCUGGGCCCAGGUUUCCCGUGAGCACCUAAUGAAUAGACUCAAUUGCAGGGAUCGUCAAGAUGCUCACUAUGUCUACCUCAUAGCCUCAAAAGAAGUGAUAACUAACAGAAUUUGUGUAGUAUCCUGAAGGGAAAUUAAUCCAGAUAUAGAGGAAAAGAUAAGGAUUUUUUAAAACAGACAUGUGAUUCAACAGUUGUUUAAGAUGCAGAAAGCUGUAAGAGACAGUUGUUCCCACUCUAAUGACAAGAAAAAGCUGUAUGGUCUGCAAAAUCAUACGUGCUUUGAUCCCACCAGAGAGCUGAAGUUGCAAGGCCCCUGAGUCAGCUGAAGUCCAAAGCGUGAGAAAACCCCCUAUAGAAGGACAAACACAUGAAGCAGUUCAUCUUUGACAGAUAAUGGAAGGAAAAGAUGGCAGCCAUAAAUGUUCAUUGGAGAAAAUCACUGAAGAUUUCAUCAUUUCUUAAAGGCCAAGUGUGAACUAUUGUGACAGAUUAGAAACUCUGAGAGUCCCAGAUACAUAGCAUGGUUUUGCCCAUUUGCUGGGUCCUUCCUCCCACGUCCUUAGUGCUGACAAGACACAUGUAACAGGGAAAGAGGAUUUCUCAAGCUUGCCACAGUGGCGUAGGCAUAAAAGUCAUGAUCACAUGAUCGACCACCACCAGAGUACAGGCACAAAACCUGGUUGCUUCUCACAUAAAACAAAAGGCAUCUACCACUGAUGUUGGAGCUAGGAACUCGUCCAACCCUUGGCCCCAGGGAUAGGGCAACUGCUGAGGUAGGGUUAGACAGAAAAACUGUCUGUAUUGGACAAGGGGAGGAGACUUGCUCUUGCCCAAGACUUCCCAUCAUUGAAAGGUAGUGUUCCGCUACCCCAAGGGGAUGUCACAGGAACACUAGGACCCAGGUAUCCAUGGCCUGAGGCUUGAUACACAUUCAGUGCAAUCAGUAAUGUGAGUUGGUUUCGACCAAUCAUUUGAGUUGGUUGCAGACCCUUUCCUCUAAUGAGGAAAAACUGUGGUGUGGGUACAAAGUUUCCACGUUCAGAAAGAUUGGC
Molecule: long non-coding RNA, 4663 nt
Filed under: Homo sapiens (human)
Lineage: Eukaryota; Metazoa; Chordata; Mammalia; Primates; Hominidae
Description: HSALNT0295460
Source: RNAcentral